GCGUCUGAUUAGCUUGUUGGCGGGGUAACGGCCCACCAAGGCAACGAUCAGUAGGGGAUCUGAGAGGAUGAACCCCCACACGGGCACUGAGAUACGGGCCCGACUCCUACGGGAGGCAGCAGU
This 123-nucleotide ribosomal RNA is filed under the name Aeromonas salmonicida subsp. salmonicida 01-B526. RNAcentral's name for it is "partial 16S ribosomal RNA". It matches the Rfam family "Bacterial small subunit ribosomal RNA", at positions 233 to 355 of the family's 1533-position model. Lineage: Bacteria; Pseudomonadati; Pseudomonadota; Gammaproteobacteria; Aeromonadales; Aeromonadaceae. The record is from RNAcentral.